Molecule: ribosomal RNA, 1365 nt
Filed under: Escherichia coli
Lineage: Bacteria; Pseudomonadati; Pseudomonadota; Gammaproteobacteria; Enterobacterales; Enterobacteriaceae
Description: partial 23S ribosomal RNA
Rfam family: Bacterial large subunit ribosomal RNA
Source: RNAcentral
GUACACAAAAAUGCACAUGCUGUGAGCUCGAUGAGUAGGGCGGGACACGUGGUAUCCUGUCUGAAUAUGGGGGGACCAUCCUCCAAGGCUAAAUACUCCUGACUGACCGAUAGUGAACCAGUACCGUGAGGGAAAGGCGAAAAGAACCCCGGCGAGGGGAGUGAAAAAGAACCUGAAACCGUGUACGUACAAGCAGUGGGAGCACGCUUAGGCGUGUGACUGCGUACCUUUUGUAUAAUGGGUCAGCGACUUAUAUUCUGUAGCAAGGUUAACCGAAUAGGGGAGCCGAAGGGAAACCGAGUCUUAACUGGGCGUUAAGUUGCAGGGUAUAGACCCGAAACCCGGUGAUCUAGCCAUGGGCAGGUUGAAGGUUGGGUAACACUAACUGGAGGACCGAACCGACUAAUGUUGAAAAAUUAGCGGAUGACUUGUGGCUGGGGGUGAAAGGCCAAUCAAACCGGGAGAUAGCUGGUUCUCCCCGAAAGCUAUUUAGGUAGCGCCUCGUGAAUUCAUCUCCGGGGGUAGAGCACUGUUUCGGCAAGGGGGUCAUCCCGACUUACCAACCCGAUGCAAACUGCGAAUACCGGAGAAUGUUAUCACGGGAGACACACGGCGGGUGCUAACGUCCGUCGUGAAGAGGGAAACAACCCAGACCGCCAGCUAAGGUCCCAAAGUCAUGGUUAAGUGGGAAACGAUGUGGGAAGGCCCAGACAGCCAGGAUGUUGGCUUAGAAGCAGCCAUCAUUUAAAGAAAGCGUAAUAGCUCACUGGUCGAGUCGGCCUGCGCGGAAGAUGUAACGGGGCUAAACCAUGCACCGAAGCUGCGGCAGCGACACUAUGUGUUGUUGGGUAGGGGAGCGUUCUGUAAGCCUGUGAAGGUGUACUGUGAGGUAUGCUGGAGGUAUCAGAAGUGCGAAUGCUGACAUAAGUAACGAUAAAGCGGGUGAAAAGCCCGCUCGCCGGAAGACCAAGGGUUCCUGUCCAACGUUAAUCGGGGCAGGGUGAGUCGACCCCUAAGGCGAGGCCGAAAGGCGUAGUCGAUGGGAAACAGGUUAAUAUUCCUGUACUUGGUGUUACUGCGAAGGGGGGACGGAGAAGGCUAUGUUGGCCGGGCGACGGUUGUCCCGGUUUAAGCGUGUAGGCUGGUUUUCCAGGCAAAUCCGGAAAAUCAAGGCUGAGGCGUGAUGACGAGGCACUACGGUGCUGAAGCAACAAAUGCCCUGCUUCCAGGAAAAGCCUCUAAGCAUCAGGUAACAUCAAAUCGUACCCCAAACCGACACAGGUGGUCAGGUAGAGAAUACCAAGGCGCUUGAGAGAACUCGGGUGAAGGAACUAGGCAAAAUGGUGCCGUAACUUCGGGAGAAGG